AUGUAGGUAAGGGAAGUCGGCAAGGCUGAUCCGUAACUUAGGGACAAGGAUUGGCUCUGAAGAAUGAGUCGGUCGGGCUGUGGUCUGAAGCGAGUUGUGCGCUGCACCGGGACUGGACACGGUGGAAGUGGCUUUCGGGUCGCCAACGCCGAGUUCGGACCAGCGUCAGUGUGUUCUCGCGGAAUGCCUCAGCUACGCCUCCAUGGUUGGUGGUUGCUCCUCACGGGGUGGCCAUCUCCAAGGGGGAUCGUUUCGGCCGGCAAAAAACAUUGAAUCAGA
RNAcentral lists this ribosomal RNA (279 nucleotides) under Ramusella clavipectinata. Its description in RNAcentral is "partial large subunit ribosomal RNA". It matches the Rfam family "Eukaryotic large subunit ribosomal RNA", at positions 1898 to 2112 of the family's 3401-position model. Lineage: Eukaryota; Metazoa; Arthropoda; Arachnida; Sarcoptiformes; Oppiidae. The record is from RNAcentral.